AUUGAACGCUGGCGGCAGGCCUAACACAUGCAAGUCGAGCGAGCGGCGGACGGGUGAGUAAUGUAUGGGGAUCUGCCCGAUAGAGGGGGAUAACUACUGGAAACGGUAGCUAAUACCGCAUACCAUCGGAUGUGCCCAUAUGGGAUUAGCUAGUAGGUGGGGUAAUGGCUCACCUAGGCGACGAUCCCUAGCUGGUCUGAGAGGAUGACCAGCCACACUGGAACUGAGACACGGCCCAGACUCCUACGGGAGGCAGCAGUGGGGAAUAUUGCACAAUGGGCGCAAGCCUGAUGCAGCCAUGCCGCGUGUAUGAAGAAGGCCUUCGGGUUGUAAAGUACUUUCAGUGGGGAGGCGUUACCGGCAGAAGAAGCACCGGCUAACUCCGUGCCAGCAGCCGCGGUAAUAC
Molecule: ribosomal RNA, 406 nt
Filed under: uncultured bacterium
Lineage: Bacteria
Description: partial 16S ribosomal RNA
Rfam family: Bacterial small subunit ribosomal RNA
Source: RNAcentral